CACCACACUUCACGCGCGUCAACCAGGUCGCGCGACACGACGCCGCGACGCUCGGACGGCAAUUAGAGGCGCGAUCAAGGGCAUAAAAGUUCGGAACGAGAUGGAAAAGAAUUCAACGGCAAUCGCGAGAAGCUUCUCAUCUGGAUGACGAGACGAAGGAGGACGAUGGCACGCGAUGCAGCAGGAGGAAGUAAAAACAGACGGUCGCUAACGACCCGCGACCACCGCGAUUCUAUGUUCGCGUCCGUAAAAACGCGAGAAGCAGCCGUUCUACUUUGCGAUUAAACCCGGCGUCGCUUCUGCUCUCGCAGAAAAAUUUGUGAUCGGGGACUCGCGGCGAGCUCGUCGAGGAGGCGAGAAACCGGCCCUGUGAUCGAAGACGGUCAGUCGGUACCGGUCCGGAACCCAUUCAGCUGGUGGAUGGCGGUUUACGACGGGAGGAAGCUGUUCCGCGUUGCCGACGAGGUAUCGACGAGUCUCUGACGGUGGUUACACAUGUGGAGCAGGACAGAGGAUCGGCUUGGAGGCAGAGAGGAACCGUCUAAUAAAAAUGUUAAUUGCACGGCUCGUUAGAAGACCCCCCGCGAUGCCUGCUAGAAGUUCAGCUGGGGUCGCCUCGCGGGGAGUCUGCGAGUAUUUGCCUUUAAACCUUCGUCCUUUUUCUCGCUUUCCUUUCCUCUCUUUUUUUCAUCCAUUUCGCCCGAUUAUUUAUCGCCCGACGGAUCGUAUACGCGACCGCGUGCAAAUCUGGAUUAUACUCUCUGUCUCUCCCCCCCCUCUCUCUCUCUCUCUCUUCUCUGCUUCCUAGAUCGAAAAGAGAACUAACUGCCGUCGUAAUGAGGCUGGAGUUUGAUAGCGUAAUCCAAUUACUCUCGUGCGAAAUCUUCCGCGAUCUCGGAACGGCAAAUCUAUAAAAUGCCAAGUGGAUCUCGAAGCAUAAUUUGUCUGCGGAAUUUAUGCUUCUGCUUUUGUGACGGUGUUCGCGAUAAAACGAUAUUGUUAGGGAUCGCGUUUGCGAAAUAUUCACGCCGAUAUAAUCUUAUUAAUCCUUCAACAAUAAAACGCGUACACGUUUGAAUAUUAGAGAUAAUGUCGGCAAUUCUCACAUUGUCAGUUUAUUUUUCCUACAGAAAGGAGAUGCACUUAAUGUCUUGGAAAAAAACAAAUAUAUAUAUACAUAUAUAUUUAUUUACUGUUUCCGGGAUCGAUAGUGAUUUAACAUUGAAUUACCUUCUUACGGGUCUUAGAGAAUUAUAUGCUCUUAGAAAAAGAACAUAUUCAUAUCAUUAUGAAUCGUACAAUUACGUUUACAUACAGAUUAAAAUUUGUAGGGGGAAGAAGGCCAAUGCGAGCCAAACGCCGGGGAUCGUGCGAAAAUAUCCAACGUGGAAAUUUAUUUAUUCUUGAAAUUAUACAUUAAUCAAACGUUUCGAUCCAUUUUCGGAUCAUCCCCAGUGAGACUAAGAACAGAGAAUUGUAUAAGAUGUUACAUAGACAUAACCAAUAUAAAAUUUAUUAUAAAAACUUUAAUAAUACCCGGAUUGAUUAACACGCAGAAAAUUAAAUUAAUACCUCGAUAGACAAAUUAUGUUAGACGCUAAAAUACGAAAAUACAUUGGCCUUCUUCCUCUCAAAUUGUCAUCUGGUAUAUUCCCAUGGGUCCCCAAAUGGUGAAAGUCAUAAAGAGAGAGUGAGAAAUACAGAUUUGAAAAGCUAAGAGAACGGAGUGUGUGUCGUUAUAAAAUGCAAGUUGAAAUUAAAUGUUUUUCGGACACGCACCCGAAUCUAAGAGAGGACAAUCACGUCGAGCAGUAAACAGCUGACUGAUGUCAAAAACAGUGGAUCUAUGUAUUUACGUAUGCUAAGAGUUGUGCUUAAAUAAUAGUGUGGGGUCGUAAUAAUAAAUAAGGGUUGCCAAAAGUGGUUUUAAGGUGGUAACGCAACUGUCGAGGCGCAAAUGUUCAAAUGUCAUUCAGAUUAUUGAUGAUAAAGUCAUAUGUGUUUAAAAGGUCGGUAUCUAUCUGUAGAUUUAAUUUGUUUGAUUAAAUGUACAGAUUAAAAUUGUUCAAUAUAUAUAAUUUUCUUUACUAUAAAACCGAGUGGGAGAGUUUUAGCGUCACAGCGAGGUCAGGGAUAAUUUUUGUGCCUAUCCUCAAGGAUAAAACUGUCAUAU
This is a long non-coding RNA of Vollenhovia emeryi, 2173 nucleotides long. RefSeq lists it as uncharacterized. The record is from RefSeq and is a predicted model, not a curated record. Lineage: Eukaryota; Metazoa; Arthropoda; Insecta; Hymenoptera; Formicidae. The transcript is spliced from 4 exons.